RNAcentral lists this ribosomal RNA (524 nucleotides) under Lysinibacillus xylanilyticus. Its description in RNAcentral is "bacterial SSU rRNA". It matches the Rfam family "Bacterial small subunit ribosomal RNA", at positions 20 to 526 of the family's 1533-position model. The record is from RNAcentral. Lineage: Bacteria; Bacillati; Bacillota; Bacilli; Caryophanales; Bacillaceae.
UGGCUCAGGACGAACGCUGGCGGCGUGCCUAAUACAUGCAAGUCGAGCGAACAGAGAAGGAGCUUGCUCCUUCGACGUUAGCGGCGGACGGGUGAGUAACACGUGGGCAACCUACCUUAUAGUUUGGGAUAACUCCGGGAAACCGGGGCUAAUACCGAAUAAUCUAUUUUACUUCAUGGUGAAAUACUGAAAGACGGUUUCGGCUGUCGCUAUAAGAUGGGCCCGCGGCGCAUUAGCUAGUUGGUGAGGUAACGGCUCACCAAGGCGACGAUGCGUAGCCGACCUGAGAGGGUGAUCGCCACACUGGGACUGAGACACGGCCCAGACUCCUACGGGAGGCAGCAGUAGGGAAUCUUCCACAAUGGGCGAAAGCCUGAUGGAGCAACGCCGCGUGAGUGAAGAAGGUUUUCGGAUCGUAAAACUCUGUUGUAAGGGAAGAACAAGUACAGUAGUAACUGGCUGUACCUUGACGGUACCUUAUUAGAAAGCCACGGCUAACUACGUGCCAGCAGCCGCGGUAAUAC